RNAcentral lists this unclassified non-coding RNA (329 nucleotides) under soil metagenome. RNAcentral's name for it is "partial contains 5.8S ribosomal RNA, internal transcribed spacer 2, and large subunit ribosomal RNA". The stretch from base 1 to 120 matches the Rfam family "5.8S ribosomal RNA", at positions 35 to 154 of the family's 154-position model. The record is from RNAcentral.
GAUGAAGAACGCAGCGAAAUGCGAUAAGUAGUGUGAAUUGCAGAAUUCAGUGAAUCAUCGAAUCUUUGAACGCACAUUGCGCCCCUUGGUAUCCCGAGGGGCAUGCCUGUUCGAGCGUCAUUUCACCACUCAAGCCUGGCUUGGUGUUGGGCGACGUCCCCUUUGGGGACGCGCCUCGAAACGCUCGGCGGCGUGGCACCGGCUUUAAGCGUAGCAGAAUCUUUCGCUUUGGAAGUCGGGGCCCCGUCUGCCGGAAGACCUACUCGCAAGGUUGACCUCGGAUCAGGCAGGGAUACCCGCUAAACUUAAGCAUAUCAAUAAGCGGAGGA